GCAACCAUGUAUAUUCCAAGCGUGAUGAAGGGAUUAGAUCAUCGUAUCGUAAAUUAUGCUUACUUCCAACCGCAAAGGCAGACUUUCUUUUUGCUUGUCUCUUUGCUUCGAGGGCCAGCGAACUCUUCACUCUAUAUGACAGAAACAGCCUAGAAUCCAGGGGGAAAUUUGAAAGUCAAUCAAGGAAGGAACUGCAAGAUGGACAGAGCAAGGUCUCGUAGAAAUGUUGAGAUUCGUUUCUCGCAAAUUACGAGAUACGGAAACGUUUAAAGUCAUCUACAGGCGGAAAUCUGUUCAAGACAGUCGCGAACUUUAUAAUAUAAUGGAAUCGUUUUACAUAUUUGCGGACAAACAACACAACACAGUUUUCGUCUAUAAAUACGAAAUAAAAAAUUUAAAUAAAAAUUAUAUUAAUCCUUUCGAUACGAGUUGUUUUUUAACAUCGAUGAUAAAGAAAAUAAUCACAGACUUCGCUGGAUGCAUAAGCAUUCAUAGACAGCAUCAAUGGAAUUUUUUCUGAUGAAUAUGUACUUCUCCUGUAGGAAACUAUGAGAUGACUCGUUUGUUUGUAAGAAAUGUUCAAGAGCAGUUAUGAAAUCAUUUACGGAUUUCACUACGUUUUACAUAUUCGAAACUUUCCAUCUUUGCAUUUCUUUUCUGUCUCCCCUUUCUCAUGAAUACUUGAAUACAUGAUUUUUUCAAAUGCAAAAAAAAAAAGAAAAAAAAAAUGCUAAUUCGUAUAUUACAAAACUUCACAAAAAUAAUCGUAAGAAUCUGAUCUAUUUUUUCUCGUAUAUUUCCUUGUUUGGAAAAAGGAAUAAUUUAUGACUUGUAAUUUGUAAAAUUACGCUAAUAAUAUCAGUUUACUUGUACAAGAUGGCCACCAUACAGAUAUUUGUCACAUUAGAAAAUGUAGACCUAACCAAACAGGAAUAUUACACAUUACAAGUUAACGUACAUAUAUAUGUAGUAUCUAUUUACAAGUAUCGCAGAUUACCUCUUGAAAAGUAAGAAAACAUAAAGACUAAAGUAAAGUUGUAAAUCUAAACUACAGUUCAAGUUAUACAAGGCAUGCAAAGCUUCUCUUGAAACGUUAGGUGCGUACUUCGAUAUACAAUAUAAAGAAACAUAGUCCGCGAGAAAAGCUACAUAGUACAUACCAUACAGAUCCCUCGCCAUAACUUUGUCAAUAUGCGCAACGAAAUCGGUAAUUUUCGCGCCACCACUCAAACACCGUUUCUCUCGCUUUGGAUAAUUGAAUCAAAUCCAGAUCGUCCAUGUUUACAGCGAAGCAACACGUGAUACCGCCAAAAGUGCUUUCCACCCCCUCACAUAACUGACAUCGGCCGUCCGUGGAUCCAACGGAAGGAUUUUGAACGUUGGAGAAUGCGUAACGCUGAUUGGCUAUUGAGCUCGGGGGUCGAUCGUAUAAAGGGACGCCGGGUCGCAACGAGCCUCACAGUACCGCUUCGACUGUGAACGCGAUAGGAAUUGGAUUGUCUAUUUUACAAAGCUCCUUUAUCUUUUGCAAUAAUUACAUUCGAAUGUCUUUUCAAGCGCUAACGAUAUAAUCGACGUUUGGUAAUAUCCAUCGACAAACGGGACAAUUCGGGUGUACAAUCUACGCCUAUAACUGCGCAGUAGGGCAUAUUGUCUCGCAAAGGCCAAAGCUGUAAAUCUUCGUUACUUAUACCGGUUUCAUGAUGAGACGAAUGAGCGAUCGUGGCGGAGAAGGAUCAGGACCAGCUCCUCAGCUAGAUGGCCGAAGAAAUUCGGUCGUUACGAUGGAAAGAGUGUCAUCGACGUUGUUUGGCAGUAAUCGUCAGUUGGACGUUAUGGACAACAUCGCAGACCUAAAAGCGAGGAAGAUGGAGUUAGAACAAUUAUUAAAUAGGCGAAAAUUAACAGUUAAAAUUACGGACGAAUCGAGUCGCUAUGGUUUUCAUUCCUUGUUCGUCAGGAGCCUCGCUAAGGAAGCACGUCUUCGUCGGUGAAGCUUAUAGCAUGGUCGCGAAGAAGCUUAUUUUUCAAUUGGAAUCAUAAAUUAUUAAGCAAUAACAUAGAAAUUUGCUUCAUCCCGCGCUCAAUCGCCAGGGACGUGUCGUAAACUCGGUAUCUCCGCAGGGUAAUUUGGAAUUAUAUUACAGCGGUACAAGUUGCCGAACUUCCUCACCCGCAGAGAUAUCGUGAUCUUCUCGGAAAACUAACAUCUCGUGUUAGUUCAAGUAGCGACCCAUCUUUGCCAGUAGAAGGCGCGCCAAGAGCACGUGAAAGGCUGGUCAUGACACUCGCGGCAUUCACACCUCGAACACAGAAAAAGAUACUUGUUAACGUUCAAGCGGUUCAGAUAUUGAUCAACUUUCGCGCGACACAAACGUUGUUCAAACUUGGAACGCUACAGGCAUUUUUCAACUCUGUUACGAGCAAACUUAUACAUAUUCAUUGAAGACAUACGAAAGAAUACGCGCUGUAUUCGUUAUCAUGCGUUUUUUUUAUUAGAGUUCAGACUUUUAUGGAUCGUCAUUAUUGGAACAGCAAGCGUUCAGUUCUGUUCUUCCCUACGUGCUCAUAAUCUUGGCUGAUAACCGCCAUUCGCUAUAUACAUCGUUGGUAUCGACGUCAAAGGAUUAAUACAGACAAAUACGUCCGUACAAUCCGAUUUGAUUGAUUUUAGAUUUUGCAUCAAACAGAUCUCUAUAUAAACAGAUAAUUUCUGAUUCUAAA
Molecule: RNA transcript, 2724 nt
Organism: Bombus terrestris (buff-tailed bumblebee)
Lineage: Eukaryota; Metazoa; Arthropoda; Insecta; Hymenoptera; Apidae
Exons: 6
Source: RefSeq, a predicted model, not a curated record